Molecule: ribosomal RNA, 253 nt
Filed under: uncultured bacterium
Lineage: Bacteria
Description: partial 16S ribosomal RNA
Rfam family: Bacterial small subunit ribosomal RNA
Source: RNAcentral
UACGUAGGGGGCUAGCGUUGUCCGGAAUCAUUGGGCGUAAAGAGCGUGUAGGCGGCUCGAUAAGUCUGCUGUGAAAGUCCAGGGCUCAACCCUGGAAGGCCGGUGGAAACUGUCGGGCUAGAGUCCGGAAGAGGCGAGUGGAAUUCCCGGUGUAGCGGUGAAAUGCGCAGAUAUCGGGAGGAACACCAAUGGCGAAGGCAGCUCGCUGGGACGGUACUGACGCUGAGACGCGAAAGCGUGGGGAGCAAACAGG